GGUACGUGGCUCAGUGGCAGAGUGCUUGCCUUGCAUGCAUGAGGCUCUGGGUUCGAUUCCUCAGCACCA
This 69-nucleotide transfer RNA is filed under the name Dipodomys ordii (Ord's kangaroo rat). It matches the Rfam family "tRNA". Rfam says of the family: Transfer RNA (tRNA) molecules are approximately 80 nucleotides in length. Their secondary structure includes four short double-helical elements and three loops (D, anti-codon, and T loops). The record is from Rfam by way of RNAcentral. Lineage: Eukaryota; Metazoa; Chordata; Mammalia; Rodentia; Heteromyidae.